CCCACAACAUUUUCAUUUACAAAUUAAGGAAAUACAGACUAAAUAAAAGUACUAUAAGGUAGAUACAUAACUAGUUGGACAUUGUGCUCAAUGAGUGAUCAUCAGUGGGUCAAUGUCUAGUUAGAAGGAAAUUUCAACUGGGGGUCCC
Long non-coding RNA from Gavialis gangeticus (Gharial), 148 nucleotides. RefSeq lists it as uncharacterized. Lineage: Eukaryota; Metazoa; Chordata; Crocodylia; Gavialidae. The transcript is spliced from 3 exons. The record is from RefSeq and is a predicted model, not a curated record.